Molecule: unclassified non-coding RNA, 19 nt
Filed under: Mus musculus (house mouse)
Lineage: Eukaryota; Metazoa; Chordata; Mammalia; Rodentia; Muridae
Description: oocyte_clustered_small_RNA3689
Source: RNAcentral
UAGGCACGGAGUAGCAGGA